UUAGAUAUUAUAAUUAUGGUGUAUGUAUGCGAGUGCACGUCCAAAUUAUAACCGUGUUUCCUACGCGAGCGCCACCACUUAAAUAGCUUAACCCUAUUUACUGUUUUCCUACUUCCAUUUGGAAUUUAGUGACUGGAAUUUUUAUUGUUUUUUUUUCAUUGGUUAUUUAUACAUCACUGUGAAAGCUAAAAAAGAUCGCGUUAAAAUUCAUAAGGCAUAUGAUACCAAAGAAACAUAUUUUUGAGAAAAAAGUUGUUCGUAGCGAGGACCUUAACAUUUACAACAACACAUUCUAAGAACAUUGAGAUCGAUCGUUUAUCGUAGGCAAUUUUGGAUUUCCGUC
Long non-coding RNA from Bombus impatiens (common eastern bumble bee), 343 nucleotides. RefSeq lists it as uncharacterized. The transcript is spliced from 2 exons. The record is from RefSeq and is a predicted model, not a curated record. Lineage: Eukaryota; Metazoa; Arthropoda; Insecta; Hymenoptera; Apidae.